Molecule: non-coding RNA, 99 nt
Organism: Caenorhabditis elegans
Lineage: Eukaryota; Metazoa; Nematoda; Chromadorea; Rhabditida; Rhabditidae
Source: Ensembl
GAACAGUGUACAGUAACGAGGAAGAGUUCGAAACAAGUCAAUGACGUGACGUGCCACUGAUGAUGUGAUCAAACAAAUGGUAGAAGCAUGUGAAAAGCC